UCAAGAAUGUGAGUGAGAUUGAACCAUCCUUGAAGAGACAACUUCUUAUAUCAACUGUCUUGAUGACUGCUGGUAUUGCCGUGGUCAAUUUCUUUGCUUUGCUAUCAGAAUUUACUCUUUAUGAUUUUGGGGCUGAGAAGGCUGUAAAGAAUUGGCACAUUUUUUUCUGUGUUGCCAUUGGCUUGUGGGCUGGACUUGCUAUUGGGUACACUACAGAAUAUUAUACCAGCAAUGCUUACAGUCCGGUGCGGGAUGUGGAAU
Carya illinoinensis is the source of this 261-nucleotide long non-coding RNA. RefSeq lists it as uncharacterized. The transcript has 3 exons. The record is from RefSeq and is a predicted model, not a curated record. NCBI's taxonomy places the organism in Eukaryota, Viridiplantae, Streptophyta, Magnoliopsida, Fagales, Juglandaceae.